UGGAUAGUGGCGAAAGGGUUAGUAAUGGAUAGGUAACGUACCCUCCGCUUCGGAAUAGCGUCGGUUGCUUCGGCAACCUUCCGAAAGGGGCAAUAAUACCGAAUAAUAUUACUUGUCGAUGGGCAAGUAAUCAAAGAUUUAUCGACAGAGGAGCGGCCUAUCUCUUAUCAGCUUGUUGGUGAGGUAAUGGCUCACCAAGGCUAUGACGGGUAGCGGGACUGAGAGGUUGACCCGCAACAUCGGGACUGAGACACUGCCCGGACCUCCACGGAGGGCUGCAGUAACGAAUAUUGCGCAAUGGGCCAAAGCCUGACGCAGCGACGCCGCGUGCGGGAGGAAGUCCCUCGGGAUGUAAACCGCUGUCAGGGAGAAGAAAGUCCGCUUCGGCGGAUUGAUCAAUCCCAAAGGAAGUCACGGCUAACUUCGUGCCAGCAGCCGCGGUAAGACGAAGGUGGCAAGCGUUGUUCGGUAUCACUGGGCUUAAAGAGUGUGUAGGCGGAAAGGUAAGCGUCCUGUGAAAGCCCCCGGCUUAACCGGGGAAUUGCGCGACGAACUGUCUUUCUUGAGCCAAGUAGGGGUGCACGGAACUGUUGGUGGAGCGGUGGAAUGCGUAGAUAUCAACAGGAACGCCGGUGGAGAAAUCGGUGCACUGGGCUUGUGCUGACGCUGAGACACGAAAGCGUGGGGAGCGAACGGGAUUAGAUACCCCGGUAGUCCACGCCGUAAACGAUG
RNAcentral lists this ribosomal RNA (732 nucleotides) under uncultured bacterium. RNAcentral describes it as "bacterial SSU rRNA". It matches the Rfam family "Bacterial small subunit ribosomal RNA", at positions 89 to 811 of the family's 1533-position model. The record is from RNAcentral.